AUAGGAACAAGCUUCGCCAGUCAACAUCUAAUUGGUAGUUGAGAAGCAACAUAGUCUUGAGAUUUACACGCCAAACAAUCACAUUGUAGCAUAUUUAUACUGUGUACAAGUUUUAAGGAAAUUCAAGAACACUGUAGUGUAGAAUAACUUUGACAAGUAGACAACGGGAAUGAAAAACAAGAAUCGCCAUACCCAAUAACAUCUUGAGAAACUCGUCAAGGCAGUUUAAAUUUUAGAAGCAGCAUUCCUCCACCAAACAGCAGCAACAAAGUGCUGCUAAACAUCCUUUCAAAAAUGAGGUACAGCCAUCGGAAUUGUCUUGGUAAUGGUGAUGCUCGUAGUGAUAAUGCUGAUAUGGUGGCGGGUGGCCGGGAGGCGGAGGUCACCCUUGGUUGAAAUACCCUUAAUACCCUUGAUAAGGUGGUCGUGGCCCUG
Molecule: unclassified non-coding RNA, 435 nt
Filed under: Hevea brasiliensis (rubber tree)
Lineage: Eukaryota; Viridiplantae; Streptophyta; Magnoliopsida; Malpighiales; Euphorbiaceae
Source: RNAcentral